Molecule: ribosomal RNA, 800 nt
Filed under: uncultured bacterium
Lineage: Bacteria
Description: bacterial SSU rRNA
Rfam family: Bacterial small subunit ribosomal RNA
Source: RNAcentral
AGAGUUUGAUCCUGGCUCAGAACGAACGCUGGCGGCAGGCCUAACACAUGCAAGUCGAGCGCCCCGCAAGGGGAGCGGCAGACGGGUGAGUAACGCGUGGGAAUCUACCUAGUGGUACGGAAUAGCCCAGGGAAACUUGGAGUAAUACCGUAUAAGCCCGAAAGGGGAAAGAUUUAUCGCCAUUAGAUGAGCCCGCGUUGGAUUAGCUAGUUGGUGGGGUAACGGCCCACCAAGGCGACGAUCCAUAGCUGGUCUGAGAGGAUGAUCAGCCACACUGGGACUGAGACACGGCCCAGACUCCUACGGGGGGCAGCAGUGGGGAAUAUUGGACAAUGGGCGCAAGCCUGAUCCAGCCAUGCCGCGUGAGUGACGAAGGUCUUCGGAUUGUAAAGCUCUUUUGGCGGGGACGAUAAUGACGGUACCCGCAGAAUAAGCCCCGGCUAACUUCGUGCCAGCAGCCGCGGUAAUACGAAGGGGGCUAGCGUUGUUCGGAAUUACUGGGCGUAAAGCGCACGUAGGCGGACUCUUAAGUCAGGGGUGAAAUCCCGGGGCUCAACCUCGGAACUGCCUUUGAUACUGUGAGUCUCGAGACCGGAAGAGGUGAGUGGAAUUCCUAGUGUAGAGGUGAAAUUCGUAGAUAUUAGGAAGAACACCAGUGGCGAAGGCGGCUCACUGGUCCGGUUCUGACGCUGAGGUGCGAAAGCGUGGGGGAGCAAACAGGAUUAGAUACCCUGGUAGUCCACGCCGUAAACGAUGGAUGCUAGCCGUCGGCCAGCUUGCUGGUCGGUGGCGCAGCUAAC